RNAcentral lists this ribosomal RNA (434 nucleotides) under uncultured Lachnospiraceae bacterium. RNAcentral's name for it is "partial 16S ribosomal RNA". It matches the Rfam family "Bacterial small subunit ribosomal RNA", at positions 341 to 792 of the family's 1533-position model. Lineage: Bacteria; Bacillati; Bacillota; Clostridia; Lachnospirales; Lachnospiraceae. The record is from RNAcentral.
ACGGGAGGCAGCAGUGGGGGAUAUUGCACAAUGGGGGAAACCCUGAUGCAGCGACGCCGCGUGAGUGAAGAAGUAUUUCGGUAUGUAAAGCUCUAUCAGCAGGAAAGAUAAUGACGGUACCUGACUAAGAAGCUCCGGCUAAAUACGUGCCAGCAGCCGCGGUAAUACGUAUGGAGCAAGCGUUAUCCGGAUUUAUUGGGUUUAAAGGGUGCGCAGGCGGAUCGGUAAGUCAGGGGUGAAAAGUUGGGGCUUAACUCCAAUCGUGCCUUUGAUACUGCCGGACUAGAGUGCGAUAGACGUGGCCGGAAUGUGAUGUGUAGCGGUGAAAUGCUUAGAUAUGUCACAGAACACCGAUCGAGAAGUCAGGUCACGAGCUCGCAACUGACGCUCAGGCACGAAAGCGUGGGGAUCAAACAGGAUUAGAUACCCUGGUA